RNAcentral lists this long non-coding RNA (887 nucleotides) under Medicago truncatula (barrel medic). RNAcentral describes it as "long non-coding RNA (MTRU_LNC005722)". Lineage: Eukaryota; Viridiplantae; Streptophyta; Magnoliopsida; Fabales; Fabaceae. The record is from RNAcentral.
UUAAGAACCUUUUAGCUUACUUUACUUUAUAAGUGUUCUCUAAGAUAGGUUAUGAAAACAACUUAAGUGUUUAUACUACAACGACAAUAUAGGGCCUGUUUUGAUAAACAACUUAUUUGUAGCUUAUAGCUAAAGUGCUUUGCUUAUCACGAAUAAGCCCUUACCUUAUCACGAAUAAGCUUGUGUUUAAGCUUGCUUUAGCUAUUUUUUAAUAAAAAAAAAGGAUAAAUCAAUAUUAAAUUGUUUAUGUAUUUGCUAUGCUAUUAGCUGUCUGAAUAAGCUAUACUGGAGUACAUCUGAAAUUAAGUUUAAAAAAGCUUAUGAGAUGUUUUCAUAAGUUCUCCCAAGUAGUUUCCCAAAACUUAUGGCAGUAGAUAAGCUCAAUUAAGCCAAUCCUAACAGUCCCAUAACUCUAUUAUUCAUCUUUACUAGCUUAUACGUAGUGCUUAUCAUGAUAAGUGCUUACACUAUAAGCUGCAAAUAAGCUGUCUAUCCUAACAGGGCCUAUAUCUACAUAAUAUAGUAUUGGGUUAUCAGCAAAGCUAAUUCGUUGAAGGUUAUUUUGUGUGUGCUUAUUGUAAAAUGAGUACUCUAGAAUUUAUGGCACAAUUGAUUUUUUCUGAAUGUGAUGUAUAGUAUGAUAACAACUUGGCUUCACUGUAUGUAAAGUUUAAUAAUAGUAACAGCUCGGCACCAGUCUUAUGUCAUGUUGGAAUUGGAUAAUAUCUGAUAUUUUGAUGUUUUUGGGCUUAUUUAAUUUGAUUUCCGCAAGUAAUAACAUAAGGUCUACUUGUUUAACAUCUCAUUGAUUGUAGAGAAUUGGACAAAUCUGAUAUUUUGAUGUUUUUGGCCUUAUUUAAUUUGAUUUACCGCAAAUAAUAACAUAA